Molecule: ribosomal RNA, 464 nt
Filed under: uncultured Bacteroides sp.
Lineage: Bacteria; Pseudomonadati; Bacteroidota; Bacteroidia; Bacteroidales; Bacteroidaceae
Description: bacterial SSU rRNA
Rfam family: Bacterial small subunit ribosomal RNA
Source: RNAcentral
GACGGGGCCCGCACAAGCGGAGGAACAUGUGGUUAUUCGAUGAUACGCGAGGAACCUUACCCGGGCUUGAAUUGCAGAGGAACAUAGUUGAAAGAUUAUGGCCGCAAGGUCUCUGUGAAGGUGCUGCAUGGUUGUCGUCAGCUCGUGCCGUGAGGUGUCGGCUUAAGUGCCAUAACGAGCGCAACCCUUAUCAUUAGUUACUAACAGGUCAUGCUGAGGACUCUAGUGAGACUGCCGUCGUAAGAUGUGAGGAAGGUGGGGAUGACGUCAAAUCAGCACGGCCCUUACGUCCGGGCUACACACGUGUUACAAUGGGGGGUACAGAGGGCAGCUACCGGGCGACCGGAUGCCAAUCCCAAAAACCUCUCUCAGUUCGGAUCGAAGUCUGCAACCCGACUUCGUGAAGCUGGAUUCGCUAGUAAUCGCGCAUCAGCCACGGCGCGGUGAAUACGUUCCCGGGCCUU